GACGAACGCUGGCGGCGUGCCUAAUACAUGCAAGUCGAACGCUGAAGGAGGAGCUUGCUCUUCUGGAUGAGUUGCGAACGGGUGAGUAACGCGUAGGUAACCUGCCUGGUAGCGGGGGAUAACUAUUGGAAACGAUAGCUAAUACCGCAUAAGAGUAGAUGUUGCAUGACAUUUACUUAAAAGGUGCAAUUGCAUCACUACCAGAUGGACCUGCGUUGUAUUAGCUAGUUGGUGGGGUAACGGCUUACCAAGGCGACGAUACAUAGCCGACCUGAGAGGGUGAUCGGCCACACUGGGACUGAGACACGGCCCAGACUCCUACGGGAGGCAGCAGUAGGGAAUCUUCGGCAAUGGAUGGAAGUCUGACCGAGCAACGCCGCGUGAGUGAAGAAGGGUUUCGGAUCGUAAAGCUCUGUUGUAAGAGAAGAACGAGUGUGAGAGUGGAAAGUUCACACUGUGACGGUAUCUUACCAGAAAGGGACGGCUAACUACGUG
This 495-nucleotide ribosomal RNA is filed under the name uncultured bacterium. RNAcentral describes it as "partial 16S ribosomal RNA". It matches the Rfam family "Bacterial small subunit ribosomal RNA", at positions 28 to 507 of the family's 1533-position model. The record is from RNAcentral.